CGUCCAUGCUGGGGAAAGUGGAGCUCUUCAUGCCCCUGAGCCCGGCCCCAGGUCCAUGAGCACAGGCGCUCCUGUGUCUGCUCGGGAACUCACUCUCUUUAUCUUACAUCCAGCUGUUGAUUCUUAUCCCUUAUCAUAUCCUUUAAUGAACUGGUAAACACAGGUUUUGGCUGAAACUAAAGCUGAGAAUGAUGUAUAAUAGCAUCUACACAUUCUAAAGAAAGAUGUUAGACACAUCCAUGUAGGAGUUGCUAAAAGAAAAAAAAAGUCCAGCCAUCAUCAUCAUCUGCCUCUAGUUUACUUCAGAGAAGACAAUAAAUUUAAAAAGAAAUUUUUAAAAAUGAAUUUGCAGAAAUAGAUGGGCUUUGACUCUUUUGCUCUCCUCUUCUCAAACCUGGCACCCAUGACAUAGACAUCUGUUAUUAUCCCUAUUUCACAGAGGAAGAUACCAUGUUUUAGAAAGGAACUUGACCAAGGUCGCAUAGGCCAGAGACAAAAGAGGAUUUACACCUUGGCUCAUCUGACUACAAAGUCUGUACUCCAACCAUUUGUGCUCUACCUGCCAGAAGAAUGCAGCCCAUGUGCCUAUAGACCCAGAGAACAGUCCACAAAAUGACAAAGGCACAGCCAGAUGUUGCUUUUUCGAAAUGGGAAAGGUCACUGGGAAAAUGAAGCUGCUUUGCAUCCUUCUUCACUUGAGACAAUGCCAAACUUGAGUGUGCUCAGAAGGGCUUUAUGCAGAGUGACUUCUCAUGUCGUGUAAAACAAAAACACUUGCCUUGGACUGUCGAUCUGCUUAAGACAUUUUGUUAGGUGAAUGAAAAGUAUAUGUAUUUGGAAGCUUACAUAUGUCCUUUUCAUAUUUAGUGUCCUGAAAAUCUCUGGGCUAGCCAGGGAAGACAAAGCAUGAAAACCACAGGCUGAGCCUGGAGCAAGACAGACUCUCCCUUACCUAUAUGUUCACCCUCACUUGCAUGGUAGGGACGGUGGUGCUGAGCAGCUGCACUGAGACAUCAAACAAUUUUUUGCACAAGCAGUCCUGUCUCUGAGCCGCAUCCCAUCAAUUUCUUGAACCCUCCAUUGUCAGAGACCGAAACCUUAAUUCUGCUACACAGCUUACAGCAAUGAAAUAGCUUCAGAAUGGAAAAUGGUUGCAGGAGACAAUUCGUUUCCUACUAUUCUCUUGGAUAAUGUCUAAUUUUUAAAAAGCAUGACUGACAUCCAGUUUUUGAGAACAAACAGCAGUUAACCAGCGACCUUCAAAUGAAUUUAUGGAGAGAAAAAUCAAACUCUUUUUAAACUAAUGCACACAAGAAUGAUUGAGAGGUCAAGAUGAAUGUCUUCUCUGGGAGAACGUCUGUUUUCUGGGGCAUAUUUGCUACUGUGACUUGUUUAUUUUGAACUAUCUAAGAGCACCAUAUAACACAGCUACAGAGUUCACUUUAAUUUCUUGAGGAUCUCACUGGAGAAAUCUCUGAUGCAUUGAAAGACUGGAACACUAAAAAAGGUUCUUUGUUGAUUUUAUCAUUUGAUAUAAAUGUAAUGAUGGUAAAUGCUAUUGAUGCAAUAGCAUCUACCACCUCCCUGCCUCUUCACCUUGGGCAAGGUGCACAACUCUUUUUGACUGGUUAUUGCAUACUCAUGUUGGGAAAUAAUAGAGAAAACAGAGAAAUAGGAGGAAUAAAAAUCAACUUUUUAAACUUCCCUCCUAAGGCUACACAGGAAAAUAUUAUAUUUUUUGGGGAGAGAGGGAGGUAAUGAGAAGAAUCACUUUCACAAUGUAUGCUUUUGUACCUGUUGAAUUUGUAAUCAUUUCAUGGAUGUCCUAUUCAUAAACCACCCCUUAAUAACAUAACAUUAAA
Molecule: long non-coding RNA, 1862 nt
Organism: Manis javanica (Malayan pangolin)
Lineage: Eukaryota; Metazoa; Chordata; Mammalia; Pholidota; Manidae
Source: RefSeq, a predicted model, not a curated record